GCAACCCUAAUGAAUCAGAUCUAGGUGACUUAGCUGGUGAUUCAAGAACAUGGCGAAGAUAGUCAAUGAUGGGUUUCGGGUUUGCUUGACUAAAACCAAGGUGGAGAAGGGUAAGGCUAGUAGCAUUCAAUGACCAAUGUUAGCCUAAUUUAGGUACUCCAAAUGGUUAAACUUCAAAUUAAGAGCCAGAUUAUAGCUCAAUAGGAAUU
Molecule: long non-coding RNA, 209 nt
Filed under: Elaeis guineensis (African oil palm)
Lineage: Eukaryota; Viridiplantae; Streptophyta; Magnoliopsida; Arecales; Arecaceae
Description: long non-coding RNA (EGUI_LNC027899)
Source: RNAcentral